RNAcentral lists this ribosomal RNA (938 nucleotides) under uncultured bacterium. RNAcentral describes it as "bacterial SSU rRNA". It matches the Rfam family "Bacterial small subunit ribosomal RNA", at positions 8 to 944 of the family's 1533-position model. The record is from RNAcentral.
AGAGUUUGAUCCUGGCUCAGGAUGAACGCUAGCGACAGGCCUAACACAUGCAAGUCGAGGGGCAGCAUUGUAGCUUGCUACAGAUGGCGACCGGCGCACGGGUGAGUAACGCGUAUGCAACCUACCUUUCACAGGGGGAUAGCCCAGAGAAAUCUGGAUUAAUACCGCAUAAUAUAUUUGAUUCGCAUGGAAUGAAUAUUAAAACUUCGGUGGUGAAAGAUGGGCAUGCGUAGCAUUAGUUAGUUGGUAAGGUAACGGCUUACCAAGACAAUGAUGCUUAGGGGGUCUGAGAGGAUAGUCCCCCACACUGGUACUGAGACACGGACCAGACUCCUACGGGAGGCAGCAGUGAGGAAUAUUGGUCAAUGGGCGAGAGCCUGAACCAGCCAUGUCGCGUGCAGGAUGACGGCCCUAUGGGUUGUAAACUGCUUUUUUACAGGAAUAAACUUUGCUACGAGUAGCGAACUGAAGGUACUGUAGGAAUAAGGAUCGGCUAACUCCGUGCCAGCAGCCGCGGUAAUACGGAGGAUUCGAGCGUUAUCCGGAUUUAUUGGGUUUAAAGGGUCCGUAGGCGGGCUGUUAAGUCAGUGGUGAAAUCCCAGAGCUCAACUCUGGAACUGCCAUUGAAACUGAUAGUCUUGAAUAUGGUUGAGGUAGGCGGAAUACGUUAUGUAGCGGUGAAAUGCAUAGAUAUAACGUAGAACGCCAAUUGCGAAGGCAGCUUACUAAGCCAUUAUUGACGCUGAUGGACGAAAGCGUGGGGAGCGAACAGGAUUAGAUACCCUGGUAGUCCACGCCGUAAACGAUGAUUACUCGUUGUGCACAAUACACCGUGCGUGACUGAGCGAAAGCAUUAAGUAAUCCACCUGGGGAGUACGUUGGCAACAAUGAAACUCAAAGGAAUUGACGGGGGCCCGCACAAGCGGAGGAACAUGUGG